Molecule: ribosomal RNA, 253 nt
Filed under: uncultured bacterium
Lineage: Bacteria
Description: partial 16S ribosomal RNA
Rfam family: Bacterial small subunit ribosomal RNA
Source: RNAcentral
UACGAAGGGUGCAAGCGUUAAUCGGAAUUACUGGGCGUAAAGCGCGCGUAGGUGGUUCAGUAAGUUGGAUGUGAAAUCCCCGGGCUCAACCUGGGAACUGCAUCCAAAACUGCUGAGCUAGAGUACGGUAGAGGGUGGUGGAAUUUCCUGUGUAGCGGUGAAAUGCGUAGAUAUAGGAAGGAACACUAGUGGCGAAGGCGACCACCUGGACUGAUACUGACACUGAGGUGCGAAAGCGUGGGGAGCAAACAGG